RNAcentral lists this ribosomal RNA (110 nucleotides) under Spirochaetia bacterium. Lineage: Bacteria; Pseudomonadati; Spirochaetota; Spirochaetia. The record is from RNAcentral.
AGUGUCUAUAGUGAAGGUGUUACACCCAUCCCCAUACCGAACAUGGAAGUUAAGCCCUUUUACGCCGAUGAUACUGCCGCUCUAAGCGGUGGGAAAGUAGGAAGAUGCUU